This is an RNA transcript of Balaenoptera acutorostrata (minke whale), 4217 nucleotides long. It is a transcript of the gene named protein FAM228B, with no coding region annotated. The record is from RefSeq and is a predicted model, not a curated record. The transcript is spliced from 10 exons. Lineage: Eukaryota; Metazoa; Chordata; Mammalia; Artiodactyla; Balaenopteridae.
GGGCGGGGACUAGAGUGGGGUCCGGGCCUGCGGGGCGCGCGUUGCUGUGCAGGGGACGCGUGGGUGUGCCUGGGCCCCUGACAGUGCACGAAGCCGAGCCUGCAGGGUUCUGCCUGGUUGGGUCGUGGCCGACGCUGUACUCCGUACCCAGAACCCCUUGCGCUGGCGCAGCCCCCGAAGUUCAGCAUCACCUGACCGGGCCUCUUCUGUAAUCCCCUCGGCGAUGCCCGUCCCGACUCCCACCUCACCCCCACCCUGACGGCCCCAGUCCACGCGCCACUCUUCAAGUCCACUCUUUAUUUCCUUAGACCGGCUUUACACUGAUCAUUUGAGGCUGGGAGAGGAAUGGGGAUUACAGGCGAGCCUGGUGUAGCACCCGGUCGCCUGAGUACUGUGAAUUUUCUCCAAGUUUGCUCUUGGAAGACCUGAGGUAGCCUUGUCCUGUACUGCCCCUCCUCCUUCAGUGGGGCAGCUCCAGGACGAUUUUGCCCACAUUCUUGUUGGUCUCCAUGUACGCAUGGGCUUCUUGGAUUUCAGUUAUGGGGUAGACUCUGUCCAGAACCGGCAGUAAACGUUGAGGGUUCCCCGUGGAGAAGUGAGGCAGAAUUUGCUCUGUGAAAGCCUUCACCAGCAUCUGCUUGUACUAAGAUAAGGAAAAGGAGACCAUCAGCCUGGACAGAGGCCUUACCUUGCCACUCCCCACCCUGCUUAGUCUUUCUGCUUUCUCUGAAACUUGUACACAUCUGAAAAGUCACACAAGGGUAUGUAAUCCCUUCACUACCAGCAUGUAUGUGCAUGUCCCUAGAUUUGCAAGCUCUGUUCUGUCCCAGAUAAAGACCAAAGCUUGGAGAAAAUGUUAGUGUCACUGAAAGCUGAAGGGCUGUUUUUAAAUAAAGACUUCCAAGCAGGAGGCAGCCACAGACAGGACUUAAUAUAGGCUCAAUUCAAAAGGGAUGCUUAACCUCUGCUAUCCCCCAGCAGGUGUGAAACCCUGUUACGAAACUCCCAAAGCUGGCACCUGCUGGAAUGCCACACAGAAAAGAUUUCAUGAAUGUAUAAUCUGUUAAAGGUAGAAGCUUACUAACCUUACUUACCUAAGAGGCUUUCUUAGCACACUGAGAACACUUCUGCCUUUGAAAACAAAGUCUUGGAACUAUUAGUAGUAUUUCCUAAUAUGGUCAAUGCUUUGUUCAUUGUUAUAAAGUUUACAUAAUACAUUACCCUCUUUCCAAGAUGUUGAGGCCUUUAUCAACCAAUUUUAAUUAGUUCUGUGAAAUUAGGUUACCUAUUUAUCCACAGAGGGGCAGGUUUCUAUUAAUACAUAGGCUCUCUAACUUAAUAUAUGAUCUUACUUUCUCAGGAUUAUGUGAAUGAAUCACACUUUAAUGGAUCAUAGUUAAAUCACGUUUUCUUUUCACCCAUCACUCACCUUUUUGUCCCUAGAUCUUAGCAGACUGGUGAUCAGACUUCCUCUUUUAAAAAGCAGCUUUGAAAACAGAGGCCCACUGAUGUCAGCACCUCCCAUCAGACCAUAGAGAACCCAGCGACCAUCAAGAGCCAGGCAGUUGACAUUUUUCUCCCAGUAGGAGCCGCCUAUGCAGUCUAGAAUAAGGUUGACUCCAGCGCCUUUCACAUGAAACACAGAUAUGUGAUGCUAGUCAGACACAGAAAGCUUGGUGUAAAGUAAGAUUACAUGGUAUAUUUGUGGAAAUAUGGGUAUAAAUAAAUACAAGUGCAAGCAGUAAAUCUAUAGGUUGGAACUCAAAACAUUGCUUAUAGAAACAUGGUUGUAAAUGGAGUUUAGUUGGCUGAACUCUAUUAUACAUGUGUGAUAUAGUUCAUAUUUUAUGAUCCCUGCCACAGCAGGAGGGAAAUGGGGCAGCACCACGAUCUGGUAUUUCCCCUGACCUCCACGUAAGUAGAGAACCCACUGGCACCCAGGGGAACAGGGGAGAUCCACCCCAGGCUACAGGACAGGCUAGUCCAUAUCUAAGUUAUCAAGUGUCUGAGCUGGGCUGCCUGAAUCAUGGCUUUGCUAGCUUUGUUUUCAUCUCUCCUUUUUGACUCAUGUGGAACAGUGGAAGGGUAUGAGCCAAAUAUAUGCAGAUUCAGUUUCAGAAUAUAGAGGCAUACACAUCUACUCACCCAUUUAGGGAGCUACCUACCCAAGCCUACUCUGAUCAGCUCCAAACUGGUUUCUGCUCCUGUUAAUUCACUGCAGAGUGGCUGGUUGGGAAAAAGAGGUCCUGAAUAAUUCCAGGCCAACUCUGUGUGAUUAUCCACUUUCUAAAAAGUGUAUGAAUCAUAUCACAAGAAUGCACAGGAAAAUCAUCUUAGUCCUAAAUACUGCCUGCCUGUCUCCAAUGGUCAAACACCAGAGUACUAGAAUUUGGCCUGGGCAGUUUUUGUGCUUUUAGCAGAGGGAAGACAGAUCCAGAGGCAACUCUGAGGCUGGUGAGGAUUUUAUUUAAUCAUCUCUGAAACUCCCGCUGAAUUGCAGAAGCUUUAUUUACCUUUGCUGAAUUUCAGUGUUGCUUCAGAAAAAUCCUCUUCUUUGUAAUUGAAUCCAGCAGCUGCUCCGAGCUUUUCUGCCAUUUGAAGCUUGUGCUGGGAGCCAGCUGUGACCAGAGGAAUAGCUCCAGCCAUCCGGUUUUUCUAGGGGCUCUGUUAUUUGUGACCACAAUGAAAAGUUCAGACAAUGAUGAUGUGAUAACUGACAGACUUCCCAAACUCAAGAGCUCAAACGAAUGGCUGGAGCCCCAGCCACUUUCCUUCAUGGAGGCAUUAGCUAAAGAAGAUAUUGAUGCAGCUAUUCAAUCAAUAUUAUACAGAGAAAAUUAUAUAAUUAAGGAACUAGGUAAGUAUUUAAAGCAUCAUGACUUCUUAAAUGCAAGAAGAAAAGAGAUAUUAUAUAAAAGAUGGGUUGAUCAUGUGGCAGAUCCUCUCCAGAAGAAAAUUAUAGAAAAUGUUACUUCACAUAAGAAGAUUAAAAAAAGGAGACAAGAGGAAUUAGAUGGUUUUUUAAAAUACGUAAAUAAAAAGGGAAAUGCAUUUAUAGAGCAUUAUGAUCCAAAAGAAUAUGAUCCUUUUUACAUGAACAAAGAGGACCCAGAUUUUCUGAAGGUUACAAUCCCACCAUUUCGUGACCCUUUGAAAAAGGCACAAUAUGACAAAGACGAUGGAAAAAGAAUUCUUCUGCAGUGUGAGACUGGCAAAAUAUUUACAAUGAAAGAAUUUAAAGAGGUUGAGAAGGCCAAACUGCAUUCCAGAUUUCCAGGAAUUUCUAAUUCAAGGCACUUUAUGACUCCAAAUGAGUGGCUUAAACUGCCUACAAACUACAUAGAAAGUGAAUUUUGUAAAAGGAGCAGGUUAAAAGUAAAAGUGAAUUUUAACGAAAGUAGUUUUGACUUGAAACCCUCUGCAAAAACUCCUCAUCUUCUGGAAUCCCAGGAAGAAGAAAAAGCAGUUGUUUACAAGUUUUAGCAACCAAGGAGCACACACCCUGAGCCUUGACCGGUAAAAGAGGACACAAAAGAAGGCUGCUUCAAAGGAAGCCAUCUGCCAGCAGGAAUCAUUCAGGAUGAGGACCAGGAAAGACACUCAAGAAUUGUUCUAUGUCUAAGAAGAGCAUCUGCAAUAAACUUCAUCUUUUGAGUCCAGUGUCUGUAUGAUAAUUAAGAAAUGACAGUACUGUAUAUUGACAGUUAUUGCAAAUGUAUUUCCCCCAGGAGUUAAGAAAUGUUGCCUGAAAGAUACAAUAACAAUACUAAUAGCUACUUUACUUAGCGCCCAUCUCAGUUCACUUGCUCUUUCCCUAAAUUGUCAGGCACCCUUAAAAUCCACACCCACAUAUUCUCCCCAGGUUUCUCCAACAGUCUUUAGAAAAUUUAAAAAUUCAUUUUGAUUACCCACGUGCUGAUUCUGAGUCUGCAAAGUUACAAAAAUUCAUUUUGAUUACCCCUCUGGCUCAUGUUGAGUUUGACUCCUAGUCACAGAAGACUUAGUAGGACCUGGAGCAUAGGAGGAGAGACUUUUGUUUUCCUUAGGUAAAAGGGGCACUAAAAAUCAAUCCUCGCUUCUACUUGUAGCCCUGGAUCAUACAGAUAAAUGGCAUUGGCUAGAGAAGACAUUGAUGAAGCUGUAUACACGAUAUUAUUUAGAGAAAAUUAUGUUGCGAAGGUAAGAGUUGGCUACAGAGAGUGGAUUCCAAGUGUGUU